GGUAUAUGCUUCUAUUAUGUGACUUUAUUAUACUGUUGACAAGGACCUUCUUGCGUGUGAUGAUUUGUGCUAGACUCAAUUGUGCAGAAUUGGAUAGGACUUGCAAUCCUACAGUAUGUAGGACAGAUUCAUUGAAGAAAUUACCUUGAUUCAACAAGUGAUGGAGGUGGUCGAGGAUUUGGAAGGUACUGUCUGAGGAUCUUUGG
Long non-coding RNA from Rhincodon typus (whale shark), 206 nucleotides. RefSeq lists it as uncharacterized. The record is from RefSeq and is a predicted model, not a curated record. NCBI's taxonomy places the organism in Eukaryota, Metazoa, Chordata, Chondrichthyes, Orectolobiformes, Rhincodontidae. The transcript has 3 exons.